GCUUCUCGCUGGUGAUUGAGGGAGAUGCUGUCCAAUUCCAAAAGCCUGCACUGGCUUGGACACAGCACUGCUAAUAAAGCCGCUUCUUACUGUUCGGCCAUUCCUUACUUUACCUCAUUUGGUUAAACCACAAGCUCAGUGCUUGGAACUUCCGUUUUCUUAUCUUGAACAUCGCGUACUGUUCCAGCUCACAGCCAGCCACCCAGGAAGGAAGCGUUUUGUUCCUUUUAGACAGAGGCCCUGGCCGGCCACAUGGCCACGCUGUUGAAAAGCUCUAAAUUUUCCGACGAGCUCUGGGACCCUUAGCAGGGGAGACUGGAAACAGACAAGCUGGACCUCUGCCUGUAUGGCGAUUUCUGAGAUGCUAAGAAGUCCUCAAUUUCUUCUCCUUUGAUAGACUACCCAAUAUUUGAGCUGCUACCGUUAUGAGUUUCACGCGUAUUUUAUGAGUUAAAAGAAGAAAGCAGGACCAUUUUGGGUACGGGCCGAGGCAAGAGUUCCUGUUGCUUUGGAUUCUGACUUCUGGGUCUGAAUUGAGGGCAGACUGUCGCUGAGCCAUCUGUGCCAAUCUUCCUCUACUUCUAUAUGGGACCCUGUCACAGCAUGGUUUAAUGAGCGGUGUCUACGUCUGCGCCCAGGAUCCGAACGGGUGAACCCCAGGCUGCCAAAGUGGAGCACGUGAACUUAACCACUGUGUCACCAGAUCAGCCCCUCUAAAACAAAAUUUUGAAGUGUGCCCUUUAAAUUUUAAAGGGUGAUGUGAGUUCAAAUCUUAACUCUCCCUCUUUAGCCUUAGAGUUGCGCUCUGUAAAAUGGGAAUAAUAAUGCAAUCUGCCUCAUUGACUUUUUUUUUAAAGGAUUAAAUAAGAUAGUGCACAUCAAGCACUUACUGUCAUGCCUGGC
This 903-nucleotide long non-coding RNA is filed under the name Equus caballus (horse). RNAcentral's name for it is "lncRNA (ENSECAG00000059785.1)". The record is from RNAcentral. Lineage: Eukaryota; Metazoa; Chordata; Mammalia; Perissodactyla; Equidae.